AUACUGCUUGCCUACGGGGGGCAGCAGUAGGGAAUCUUCCGCAAUGGACGAAAGUCUGACGGAGCAACGCCGCGUGAGUGAUGAAGGCCUUCGGGUCGUAAAGCUCUGUUGUUAGGGAAGAACAAGUACCGUUCAAAUAGGGCGGUACCAUGACGGUACCUAACCAGAAAGCCACGGCUAACUACGUGCCAGCAGCCGCGGUAAUACGUAGGUGGCAAGCGUUGUCCGGAAUUAUUGGGCGUAAAGGGCUCGCAGGCGGUUCCUUAAGUCUGAUGUGAAAGCCCACGGCUCAACCGUGGAGGGUCAUUGGAAACUGGGGAACUUGAGUACAGAAGAGGAGAGUGGAAUUCCACGUGUAGCGGUGAAAUGCGUAGAGAUGUGGAGGAACACCAGUGGCGAAGGCGACUCUCUGGUCUGUAACUGACGCUGAGGAGCGAAAGCGUGGGGAGCGAACAGGAUUAGAUACCCUGGUAGUCCACGCCGUAAACGAUGAGUGCUAAGUGUUAGAGGGUUUCCGCCCUUUAGUGCUGCAGCAAACGCAUUAAGCACUCCGCCUGU
This 558-nucleotide ribosomal RNA is filed under the name uncultured Bacillus sp. RNAcentral describes it as "bacterial SSU rRNA". It matches the Rfam family "Bacterial small subunit ribosomal RNA", at positions 328 to 876 of the family's 1533-position model. Lineage: Bacteria; Bacillati; Bacillota; Bacilli; Caryophanales; Bacillaceae. The record is from RNAcentral.